CCUACGGGUGGCAGCAGUCGAGAAUCAUUCACAAUGGGGGAAACCCUGAUGGUGCGACGCCGCGUGGGGGAAUGAAGGUCUUCGGAUUGUAAACCCCUGUCAUGUGGGAGCAAAUUAAAAAGAUAGUACAACAAGAGGAAGAGACGGCUAACUCUUUGCCAGCAGCCGCGGUAAUACAGAGGUCUCAAGCGUUGUUCGGAAUCACUGGGCGUAAAGCGUGCGUAGGCUGUUUCGUAAGUCGUGUGUGAAAGGCGCGGGCUCAACCCGCGGACGGCACAUGAUACUGCGAGACUAGAGUAAUGGAGGGGGAACCGGAAUUCUCGGUGUAGCAGUGAAAGGCGUAGAUAUCGAGAGGAACACUCGUGGCGAAGGCGGGUUCCUGGACAUUAACUGACGCUGAGGCACGAAGGUCAGGGGAGCGAAAGGGAUUAGAUACCCUUGUAGUC
RNAcentral lists this ribosomal RNA (446 nucleotides) under uncultured bacterium. RNAcentral's name for it is "partial 16S ribosomal RNA". It matches the Rfam family "Bacterial small subunit ribosomal RNA", at positions 338 to 795 of the family's 1533-position model. The record is from RNAcentral.